CCAGAUAUACAAGCAUAUAAGCCAGUCCAGCAGCCUGAAAGGAGGGAACCAACAGGCAGAAGAAGUUGAGGAAGCAGGACCGCAAGAAGAGGGCGAUACGUUCGGCCUGCCUUCUGUGACCAGCGCGAUGCCACCCAGCACGCAAACAGGCCAUGGCAGCACGUUCUCCCUGCAGAAGCGUAAAGAAUGAUCAGCCUGUUCAAGUACCGAAGGGAACCCUUUUUAGAUAGGAGGGUGUCACUGAAAACACCAGCAGCAUUUGAGGUUUCGAGCUUAAUUCAUGUUAUGUUGAGUCGGCUUAGGUUGAUAUGGUAAUUGACCUUACAUUAGUUAUCCAGGCGCCAAAUGCAAAGGAGGCUAGGCGACUGGGGAGAUUUUGACGGCAGCCUGCAAGACUUGUGUAAUGCAAGUAUAUCGCUCACGAUGCCAGCAUACUCUUGAUGGCAAUAUUUCACUGCAGCCUUUUAUUCGUGUGUUCCGAUGUCAGUUUUACAUGUUCACAGUUUGCAUGCCGUCCUACUCUAUUUACUUCUGCAAUGGUUUUACUCUGGAUUUUCGUUCUUAGCAGUAAGUCUCUGGAUUUUCGUUGAGAAUCCGUGGCAAGAUUUCUCUACGGAUUUGGAUUCUACCAAUGAUUGGCCAUUUGGAAAGGAAAACGCUUGGUUUCUAAUGCUGGAGAGUAACUUAGACUAGUAACAUAUAUAUGUUGGGUCCGUCUAUGUCACAUCUAGAUGUGAGAUAAGUUUUUU
Molecule: long non-coding RNA, 749 nt
Filed under: Triticum aestivum (bread wheat)
Lineage: Eukaryota; Viridiplantae; Streptophyta; Magnoliopsida; Poales; Poaceae
Description: long non-coding RNA (TAES_LNC014812)
Source: RNAcentral